RNAcentral lists this ribosomal RNA (492 nucleotides) under uncultured bacterium. RNAcentral describes it as "partial 16S ribosomal RNA". It matches the Rfam family "Bacterial small subunit ribosomal RNA", at positions 30 to 507 of the family's 1533-position model. The record is from RNAcentral.
AUUGAACGCUGGCGGUAGGCCUAACACAUGCAAGUCGAACGGCAGCACAGUAAGAGCUCUCGCUUACGGUUGGCGAGUGGCGGAUGAUGGAUGAAUACGUCGGAAUCUGCGUUGGCGUGGGGGACAACGGAGGGAAUAUUACCCUAAUACCGCUUACGGCCUACGGGUGAAAGCAGGGAACCUUCCGACCUUGCGCGAGCCAAUGAGCCGAUGUCGGAUUAGCUAGUUGGCGGGGUAAAGGCCCACCAAGGCGACGAUCCGUAGCUGGUCUGAGAGGAUGACCAGCCACACUGGAACUGAGACACGGCCCAGACUCCUACGGGAGGCAGCAGUGGGGAAUAUUGGACAAUGGGGGCAAGCCUGAUCCAGCCAUGCCGCGUGGGUGAAGAAGGCCUUCGGGUUGUAAACCGCUUUUGUUCGGGAAGAAAAGCAGCAGGUUAAUACCCCGCUGUGAUGACGGUACCCAAAGAAUAAGCACCGGCUAACUUCGUG